AACGCACAUUGCGCCCAUUAGUAUUCUAGUGGGCAUGCCUGUUCGAGCGUCAUUUCAACCCUCAAGCACCUGUUGCUUGGUGUUGGGGUUCUGUAGGCCAUCUGGCCCGCAGGCCCCGAAAGUCAUUGGCGGGCACGCUAGGUCCCCGAGCGCAGUAAUUUUUUCUCGCUUAGGGCGUCCGGCGCUGUUCCAGCCGCUAAACCCCCAACUUCUAAGGUUUGACCUCGGAUCAGGUAGGAAUACCCGCUGAACUUAA
RNAcentral lists this unclassified non-coding RNA (256 nucleotides) under uncultured Sordariomycetes. Its description in RNAcentral is "sequence contains ITS2". The record is from RNAcentral. Lineage: Eukaryota; Fungi; Ascomycota; Sordariomycetes.